RNAcentral lists this ribosomal RNA (571 nucleotides) under Galdieria sulphuraria. RNAcentral's name for it is "SSU rRNA". It matches the Rfam family "Eukaryotic small subunit ribosomal RNA", at positions 665 to 1199 of the family's 1831-position model. The record is from RNAcentral. Lineage: Eukaryota; Rhodophyta; Bangiophyceae; Galdieriales; Galdieriaceae.
UGUACCGAUAUUUAUCUUCUUCAAUACCGGUAAAUGGUGGGUGAGAUUCACUUAAUUGGGAGUCUUGCCAACUACACCUUUACCCUUUUACUGUGAAUAAAUUGGAGUGUUCAAAGCAGGCUUUUAUUAAUGCCAUUGUACACUACAGCAUGGUAUAAUAUAAUUCAGUGAAAGAAUGUAUUUGGUUUCUUUAUGCAUUCUUUCAUAAUUAUUAAUGGAAACAAACGAGGUGAUAUGUAUUGAUGAGCGAGAGGUGAAAUUCUAUGAACUCAUCAAGACAAACUAAGGCGAAAGCAAUUCACAAGGAUGUCUUCGUCGAUCAAGAACGAAAGUCAGGGGAUCGAAGAUGAUCAGAUACCGUCGUAGUCUUGACUGUAAACGAUGCCAACUAAGGAAUAGGAGAUGUUCCCUACCAUUUGGUGGGGAUUGGAACAGUAUUUUUUACCUCUUCUAUUACUUUACGGGAAACCAAAAGUUUUCGGGUUCUUGGGGUAGUAUGGUCGCAAGUCUGAAACUUAAAGGAAUUGACGGAAGGGCACCACCAGGAGUGGAGCCUGCGGCUUAAUUUGAC